Molecule: ribosomal RNA, 404 nt
Filed under: uncultured bacterium
Lineage: Bacteria
Description: partial 16S ribosomal RNA
Rfam family: Bacterial small subunit ribosomal RNA
Source: RNAcentral
GACGAACGCUGGCGGCGUGCUUAACACAUGCAAGUCGAACAGAGGCGAACGGGUGAGUAACACGUGAGUAACCUGCCCUCCACUUUGGGCAAACUCCGAGAAAUCGGGGCUAAUACUGGAUAGUGGGGGAUGGGCCCGCGGCCUAUCAGUUGGUUGGUGAGGUAGUGGGCACCAAGGCGUGACGGGUAGCCGGGCUGAGAGGGCGACCGGCCACACUGAGACUAAGACACUGACCAGACUCCUACGGGAGGCAGCAGUGGAGAAUAAUGCACGAUAGGCGAAAGCCUGAUGCAGCGACGCCGCGUGGGGAAUGACGGCCUUCGGGUUGUAAACCUCUUUCAGCAAGGAAGCGGUACUUGCAGAAGAAGCACCGGCUAACUACGUGCCAGCAGCCGCGGUAAUAC